Canis lupus familiaris (dog) is the source of this 498-nucleotide long non-coding RNA. RefSeq lists it as uncharacterized. The record is from RefSeq and is a predicted model, not a curated record. The transcript has 4 exons. NCBI's taxonomy places the organism in Eukaryota, Metazoa, Chordata, Mammalia, Carnivora, Canidae.
ACACUCCUGCAUUCCCUACUCCUUGUUCCAGCUAUUCUUAGGACCAAAAUUGCUGAGAGCUCUGCCAGCAGUUACUGGCCUUGAUUGGGAAACGAGAAGAUUCUGGGCACAAUGAUCUGGGCUCUAUGUAAGUAGGCUCAGAUGCUUGCUGCCCAUCCUGGGGCUAACCUCUCUGGGAAGGUGUGACUUCUCAGGAGUCUGCUUUCUUCUGAGAAGAGGAGGAGGAGGAGACGGAGAAAAAUGGCCCUUUCGUUUCUAAAGGUGAUAUCACAGGAGUCAGUGAAAUUAAGAGAUGUGGCUGUGAUCUUUUCUCCGGACCAGUGGGCUUGUCUGAACCCUGAAGAAAGACAAUUGUAUAAGGAUGUGAUGCUGGAUAACUGUGAUUAUCUCGUGUCUUUGGGACACUGGACUUAUAAGGCAGAAGUGAUAUCCACUUUGAAGAAAGGGAAGGACAUCUGGAUGAUGGAGAAAGAGGUGAUGAGUGCUCCAUGCCCAGGU